This 267-nucleotide long non-coding RNA is filed under the name Mus pahari (shrew mouse). Its description in RNAcentral is "lncRNA (MGP_PahariEiJ_G0002836.1)". Lineage: Eukaryota; Metazoa; Chordata; Mammalia; Rodentia; Muridae. The record is from RNAcentral.
AAGGCCAAGCACACCAAUGGGCUGGGGAAAUCUCCCCUGUGUAAGAACUUUGAGAACAGAAACAAAGUCCAGGGCUCCCUAGGCAUGGCAGGAGACAGAUGAGGAGUCAGCACCCUCGGAGUCUAGAACCCCUAAACCAUUCAUUCCCACCGUCCUCUGCUGCACUGCAAUUGCUUCAAUACCUUCCGGUCUUUAGGUCUUUCAUCUUUCACUUUAUUUCUAUUUAAUGCUUUUUGUUAUUACUAAAAAUCUACUCUCUUGCUCCUG